Molecule: long non-coding RNA, 2683 nt
Filed under: Homo sapiens (human)
Lineage: Eukaryota; Metazoa; Chordata; Mammalia; Primates; Hominidae
Description: HSALNT0332459
Source: RNAcentral
GUGUGGUGUGGAAGUGUUUGUUUUUUGCAAUAGAUUUUUGUUGCAGUUUAGGUUUGUAUUUUCUUUGUUUUGUAGUGCUUAUUAUGAAGGUUCGUAGGUUUAUGUCUGUAGGCCAGGCAGGUCAUUAAACUUAACAAAGAAUAAGUAAGUCGGGAGAGGGGAAUAGAAAUCUCCACAUACAUAUUCUUAAAAGCUGUAACACUCACCACAAAGAUCUGCUGAGUGAAGUCUGUGAGACGAACGCACCAAGUCUGGACGCUCUGUCAGGCUACAUUUUACGUUUUUGGGAGUGAGCAGGUGUUAUUCUGUUCCCCGGGUUGGUUUUGAAGUCAUGGCUCUCAAGUAAUUUUUGUGCUUCUCAAAAGUGCUGGAAUUGCAAAGAUCAACAUCAAAAGCUACAAACUGGAAACAGAGGAAGAUACUAGCCCCGUGUUUCUGAUUCAGUAUCACUGAAAUACUUUGGAACCAUAUAAAGGGCAAAGUACAUUCCACAUGUUGAAGGACAGUGCCUGGCCCUGUGGGGUGUCAUCCCCAAGCUGUAGGCAUAGUGGCAACCCAGGGGUUCAUCUCAACUCCCAUCAGAGUUCAAACAUUGAAUUAGUUGUGCAAUGGAAGGAGUAUUACCAGGACCCAGAUGCAGCCCAAGGAAAAAAGAAAACAAAAGGAGACACACACAGACACCAGAGCAUGAUGCAAGUGUGGCUUAAUCGGUGCUUGCACAUUGGGCUUGUUCUUUCCAAACCUGUUGCCCCGAUUCUGCAAGGCUAUCCUGCUGUAGAAGGAGGCCCUGGAGGACAAGACACCAUGUGGGGAAAACAGCCAUGGGGAGCAGAACCGAGGUAUCCCAGCUUAGCUCCCAACUGACAGCAGCCACAUGAGUGAGCAGAAAAACAACUUCCAAGGGUGAUUUAGCUACUGCUGCUGUGGAAUGUCAAAACUUUCAGCAAGGGAGCCCGAUGCAGAUCUGUUGAUAUGACACCAUUCCACAAGAAGACCAACUGAUGGCUUUGUGGCAAGUUGACUACACUGGGCUGUUUCUAUUCUGGGAAGACAGAGAUUUGUUCUAAGAGGAAUAGGCAUGUGUUGCAGGCAUAGGUUGACCUUUCCUGCCAUGGAGCCUCCUCUGGUACCACUAUUUGAAGGUUGAAGGAAUGUUGAUUCACCAGGAUUGAGUCAGACCAGCCAAGCCUAUGACCAUGAUGUCAACUGACUGUAUCACCUGUCACAUCAUCCAGAAGCUACAGACUUAUAAGGCAUUGGAAUAACUUGUAGAUGGCCCCGUUAAAGUACCAGCUUAGAGGCAACACUCCAUGAGAAUGAGACAUCAUCUCCAGGAUGGCACAUACACAUUGAAUCACACAGCAUUGAUAAGGAGAUGGCUCCCCAGUAGGAAGAAUAUAUUGGUCAUGAACCAAGGGAUGAAGCAGAAGUGUCUUGCUUCCUGUCCCUGCAGCCUCUCUUUCUGCAGUGCUAGAAAUCCUGGUCAAAAGGGGGCAUAAUUUUAUCAGGGGACACAGCAAAAGUCUCCACUACAUUGCAGCUAUGCCUGCUGCCUGGGGAUUUUGGGCUUCUUAUAAUUGGGACCAGCAAUAAAAGAGAAGAGUCACAGUCUUGGCAGGGCUAAUUGACCCUGAUCAGCAGGAGAAGAAAGGCUGUGGUUCCACUAUGAGGGUAGGGAAGACGUGUGGCACCACUGAUCCACUUUUGCAACCCAUGGUACUCCCGUGGCCAGUUGUGAUGACAGACAAGUGCAGGAACACUUUUGGGAAGGGCAUGGUGGCCAGAGUUCAGACCCCAUGGGAAUGAGGACCAGGGUCACACCACUGGAUAAGCCAGGAGGAAGAGAGGCCCACUGGAAGGCUGGAGGAGCUGCUCCCCAGAUGUAGAUGAAGUAGAUUUGAGCAGCACAGUGGUGGACCUAGUAGAGGCGGACAUCAAGAUCCUCUUCAAGGAAAGAUUAUCAAUAUAGUUUUCCCUGACCCAGGUGCCAUGUGUUUUCUGUCAUAUUCACGUAUGCUAAUACAUAAUUGUGCAAGUGGGGUAAUAUCUGGGACACUUCAUGGUUCAUAUCAAAACACAGAGUGAAGAGAACAUCCUCUGGGCCAUCUCAGAGUGUGAGUUUGGGGCGGGGGUGGCUCCUGGUUAACAUUUCUGUCCACUGCAGCAUUCCUUUUCCCUUUUGCUUUUAGAUUCUUCCCUUGACAUCACACCAGGAAAGUCUGACAACUUAACUUUAUUGGAUAUAGGCAACCGUUGAAUCCAAGUUUUGCCCACUGAAUCCAUCAAAUUGUUACAGCCAAUUCUAGAUGCCUGAGUGGACACAUGAAAUCCAGAUUCCCCAGUAAGCGCAUCCCCAUUAAUAAACUGACCAAAUGCAAUGUUAAUCUGUUCUAUAACCUUUAGAAUCCAUCCCAACAUAUAUUUUUUAGGUUCCUGCCAAGAUAUGUUAGCAAAAGCUUGCAAUUUUUUGAAAAAUGAAUUAUCUCUUCCUGGGACAUGUGUUGUACUUUUCUCUCUGAAAUAGGCUGAGCUCUGACUCCAUUAAAAGUCUGAAAGCAAUGAAGAGUGAAGGAGCGGAUAUUGGGGAGAAUAGGCAUCCUCUUGCAAGAUAACUGCCUCAAAGUCAUUAUAAGGUUUUCAAGCAAGAGAAAGCUAAUUUCCUUACACAUAUGAAGAAGCGUUG